This 486-nucleotide ribosomal RNA is filed under the name Talpa europaea (European mole). Its description in RNAcentral is "partial 16S ribosomal RNA". It matches the Rfam family "Bacterial large subunit ribosomal RNA", at positions 1852 to 2566 of the family's 2925-position model. Lineage: Eukaryota; Metazoa; Chordata; Mammalia; Eulipotyphla; Talpidae. The record is from RNAcentral.
GCACUGCCUGCCCGGUGACAUACUAAACGGCCGCGGUAUCCCCGUGAAGGUAGCAUAAUCAUUUGUUCUUUAAUUAAGGACUUGUAUGAAUGGCCACACGAGGGUUUAACUGUCUCUUACUUCUNAUCAGUGAAAUUGACCUUCCCGUGAAGAGGCGGGAAUAAUGAAAUAAGACGAGAAGACCCUAUGGAGCUUUAAUUAACUAACUCAAGAAAAUAACAUUAUCACCCGACAGGCAACAACACUACUAUAACUGAGCUAGCAAUUUCGGUUGGGGUGACCUCGGAGUACAAAAUAACCUCCGAGAGAUUUCAGUUAAGACCUACAAGUCGAAACUGUAAAAAUCAUAAUUGAUCCAAUUAACUUUGAUCAACGGAACAAGUUACCCUAGGGAUAACAGCGCAAUCCUAUUUAAGAGUUCAUAUCGACAAUAGGNUUUACGACCUCGAUGUUGGAUCAGGACAUCCCAAUGGUGCAACCGCUAUU